GGAGUCCCAGGAGGAAUGAAUUUCAACCCAGCAGUCUCAGAUUUGGGCUUCCAGCUUGCAAAUUACAGAGGCCAAGUUUGCUGAAAAGGAACAGCAGCAUGUGACCUUCUGAAAUCGCUAAUUGUAGUACUGCAGAACCUAAGCCUGAAAAAUGUGCAAGUCCUGGAGCUGCAUAUUCCGAAGUCCUGCCUGUCGUUGUUUGUUUGGCUGCGUGACAACGUUGCUAUCAACAGAUGGAAUGAAGCAUGAGGUAAUGACUGCAGCUUAAAUGAGAGCACUUGUCAUACCUGCUUUUUGCUUGGACUGAUCAGCAAGUGUCCGGGCAUAGUCAAAUGCAGCGUGUGUUUUCUUUCAUGUUUACAAACUGGCAAGCUUAAUGGAAGAUAAUUCUUGACAUUUCUUAACAGUUUUCCUCAUCCCUAAAUCAAAUCUAUUAAUGUUGUGUUGAACUACUCAGGAGCUACUAGGUGCUGUGAAU
This 478-nucleotide long non-coding RNA is filed under the name Dromaius novaehollandiae (emu). RNAcentral's name for it is "lncRNA (ENSDNVG00000015755.1)". Lineage: Eukaryota; Metazoa; Chordata; Aves; Casuariiformes; Dromaiidae. The record is from RNAcentral.